UCCACACGACUCUCGGCAACGGAUAUCUCGGCUCUCGCAUCGAUGAAGAACGUAGCGAAAUGCGAUACCUGGUGUGAAUUGCAGAAUCCCGCGAACCAUCGAGUCUUUGAACGCAAGUUGCGCCCGAGGCCACUCGGCCGAGGGCACGCCUGCCUGGGCGUCAC
RNAcentral lists this ribosomal RNA (164 nucleotides) under Triticum turgidum subsp. turgidum. Its description in RNAcentral is "5.8S ribosomal RNA". It matches the Rfam family "5.8S ribosomal RNA". From Rfam's summary of the family: 5.8S ribosomal RNA (5.8S rRNA) is a component of the large subunit of the eukaryotic ribosome. It is transcribed by RNA polymerase I as part of the 45S precursor that also contains 18S and 28S rRNA. Lineage: Eukaryota; Viridiplantae; Streptophyta; Magnoliopsida; Poales; Poaceae. The record is from RNAcentral.